GGCGGUCCCAUUGCGGACAAUGAAGGGGGGGGGGGGCAGCGCUUUUUCUGCCCGCAAAACCCCGAAAACGCCGUUUUUUCACCGAAAAAAGACCCCAAAUCGCUCCGGAAUACCCCCCAAAAAUCCCUUUCGAGAGGAAUUGGGGUCCAAAAGACCCAAAACCGGCGGAAUUUACCCCAAAAAUCGGAGCGUUUCCCCUUCGGCGCCGCGCGGUGCUCCGCUCUGAGGAGACAAAAUGGCGGCGGCAAAAUGGCGGCAACAGCGCGUAGAUGGAAAAUGGGGUCGGGGUCGGACUUUGUCCCUGAGCUGCGUGGAAUGUUUACCCGCGGCCCUGCGCAAACAGCGCCGCUGAUUGGCUGCCGCCACCCGGAUGUCCCGCCCCCGCCGCUGAUUGGUUGAUCGCACCCCGGAAGUGUCGCCCCCCCCUCCGCCAUGGG
Molecule: long non-coding RNA, 437 nt
Filed under: Gallus gallus (chicken)
Lineage: Eukaryota; Metazoa; Chordata; Aves; Galliformes; Phasianidae
Source: RNAcentral